RNAcentral lists this ribosomal RNA (117 nucleotides) under Diaphorina citri (Asian citrus psyllid). The record is from RNAcentral. Lineage: Eukaryota; Metazoa; Arthropoda; Insecta; Hemiptera; Psyllidae.
AGCUGCAGCGAAAGCACGUGGAAUGCACAGUUCACGAUGGAUCACUGAAGUUAAGCAACGUUUCGCGUGGUUGGUAUCCAGAUGGGUGACCACCCAAGUAUUCGCGUGCUGGUUUUC